AGAAAGAGAAAUAGGAACCGCCAGUUGAUCGAAUGAUCGGUCACAAGAAAGGAAUCCAUGGGAUCUUUCCAAAUUCUCCAUUUACAUUUUCUUUUUUUCUCUGCCUGACGAUCAUCUGCAAUUUUCUUUUUCCU
Molecule: non-coding RNA, 134 nt
Filed under: Prorocentrum minimum
Lineage: Eukaryota; Dinophyceae; Prorocentrales; Prorocentraceae
Source: RNAcentral